UACGUAGGGGGCGAGCGUUGUCCGGAGUUACUGGGCGUAAAGCGCACGCAGGCGGUCUGCUAAGUUUGGAGUGACAGUUGGUGGCUUAACUGCCAAAGUGCUUCGAAAACUGACAGACUUGAGGGCUUCAGAAGGGACACGGAAUUCCGGGUGGAGUGGUGAAAUGCGUAGAGAUCCGGAGGAACACCAAAGGCGAAGGCAGUGUCCUAGGG
This 212-nucleotide ribosomal RNA is filed under the name uncultured bacterium. RNAcentral's name for it is "partial 16S ribosomal RNA". It matches the Rfam family "Bacterial small subunit ribosomal RNA", at positions 524 to 734 of the family's 1533-position model. The record is from RNAcentral.